Long non-coding RNA from Sorghum bicolor (sorghum), 1844 nucleotides. RefSeq lists it as uncharacterized. The transcript has 3 exons. NCBI's taxonomy places the organism in Eukaryota, Viridiplantae, Streptophyta, Magnoliopsida, Poales, Poaceae. The record is from RefSeq and is a predicted model, not a curated record.
UUUACAAAACAAAAUUUUUGAGCCUAAUUAGUCUAUAAUUAGACACUAAUUAUCAAAUAAAUGAAAAUGCUAACACUCCUAACCAAACACCCUAGUGACACGUCCGAGUACUUGUUUGUACAUUCCUGGAAGGCACCGUGUGUUGUCGCCUUGUCGGUCUGCGGUGAUAAAUUGUGGGCUCUAUAAAUUCUGGCCCAGGGCCUCAGACUGUUUGGGCCGUGGACGUGUGGACUACACUACAGGACAGGAACAGCCAGAUUAGCCUAUUUUCUGUUUUCACCCCUCCAAUCUCUGCAGUCCGAAACCCCGAAUCUGUCCACACUCCACAGUCUACAUGUUUCAGAGUUCAGACGGCGGCGGUCAUCACCAUUCACCGCCGCGCGGCGACCGGCGAGUGAGGAUGGCGCCGGCGCCUGACCGGUUCUGGCCAUGGACGGGCCUCACUGCGCAAAUGCCCUUACCAAAUCCGCAAGAGCGGCGCUCCAUCGGCGCAGAGCGGCGGUCCAUCUCCACACCGCCGUGGCACCCGCGCCGUCUGUUUCGUACGAAGUUGUUGGAUGCUUUGCAUGGAUAAGUUAAACAUGCAGUUAUGAUGGCCUUGCCUUCAGUGGUGGAACUUGACUGGAAGUUUAGAGGGACCACCACUUAAUAUAGUGAGGUUACAUGAGAAAGAGGGGAUCAGUUCCAUGCUUAAGCUUCAAUUUAGCCUUGAGGCCUAAUGCUUCCCCCACGGAUUAGCAAAAGUGACGGGAGCCAUGGUCCACCCUGGCCAUCACUAAGCUCCAUUCAUACUUGCCUUUAAUCAACAUAUGACACAUACACAUGAAGGUCGAUCAAGUUCAGUUAGUAUUUCAUAUUUUAGUUUGAAUCACUGAAGAAUGUGGAAGGAUUGCCUUUUCUGGCAUGGUACAGAUGGCCCUCACCCCCUAGGCGCCUAUUUCUGGCAGUGGCAAGAACACAGAAGAACAAAGCCUCAACGGUGCAUGCUGAUAUGAUUUCUGGUCCAUGCCAUCUGAUAUUCUGAUCCGAGACAUCUAGCUGCACCAAGCGAGCUGGGUCAGGUACUCUCAUCAAGUGCGUGACAUUGGGAUUUCAGAGACAGGCUAGGACGGUUGUACAGGCAGCACAAUCAAAGCUUGAUAUAUCAUCAGCCUAAUCUUGUUCUGUCAGAUCAGUUUUGACAAAAUCUAACGACCUAAUAUACCUUUUAAAUUGGACAUUUUAACAAAAUAAAUAUACCAUUGAUUUGUGAAGUUUACACACGGCAUUUUGUUGCAAUUAUUUAUGACAGUAGCAUGCCAGGCUCAGUGUCUAGUGCCAGCGGUUGUGGGUUCUGGUUUCAAUCAGCAGUAUGUGAUAGCUUGUCUCUGUUUCUUGGCCAGUAGGUUUAGUUGCCUGUUAGUGCAUUGUGGCUACUUAGAACUCUUUGAGAUAUAUGCAUGACUCUCGGAGAGUUUUCGGUUGUUCUUCAAAUGACAUAAAAGGGACAUACUGCAGGACACGUCAAUAAUGUCUUAGUAAUGGAAUACUGUCAUACAUUCUCUGAGAUACUGACGUCAGAUGUCCGAGUUACAGCUUUGGAUUCACAGUUGAACAUGUAUCUAACUAGCAAUGCAUUUCUACUUAUGUUGAUGACUUGCUACUAGCUAGGCCACAUCUAUGCCAAUAGUUUGCACUUUGCACCAUGGUUUCAAGUAUUCGUAUUUUUCAUUGCAAAUUGUUGCUUAAAUGCUUUAACACUUGUUCAAUUUUGCAUGGAAGCAUUAAACAUUUGAAAGGAAAAGGAAUGAUUUGCACUAAAUGAAUGCAGGAGUGUGGGGUUGGGGUGGGGGAGUGGGAAGGGA